AGAGUUUGAUCCUGGCUCAGGAUGAACGCCGGCGGUGUGCCUAAUACAUGCAAGUCGUACGCACUGGCCCAACUGAUUGAUGGUGCUUGCACCUGAUUGACGAUGGAUCACCAGUGAGUGGCGGACGGGUGAGUAACACGUAGGUAACCUGCCCCGGAGCGGGGGGAUAACAUUUGGAAACAGAUGCUAAUACCGCAUAACAACAAAAGCCACAUGGCUUUUGUUUGAAAGAUGGCCUUGGCUAUCACUCUGGGAUGGACCUGCGGUGCAUUAGCUAGUUGGUAAGGUAACGGCUUACCAAGGCGAUGAUGCAUAGCCGAGUUGAGAGACCGAUCGGCCACAAUGGAACUGAGACACGGUCCAUACUCCUACGGGAGGCAGCAGUAGGGAAUCUUCCACAAUGGGCGCAAGCCUGAUGGAGCAACACCGCGUGAGUGAAGAAGGGUUUCGGCUCGUAAAGCUCUGUUGUUGGAGAAGAACGUGCGUGAGAGUAACUGUUCACGCAGUGACGGUAUCCAACCAGAAAGUCACGGCUAACUACGUGCCAGCAGCCGCGGUAAUACGUAGGUGGCAAGCGUUAUCCGGAUUUAUUGGGCGUAAAGCGAGCGCAGGCGGUUGCUUAGGUCUGAUGUGAAAGCCUUCGGCUUAACCGAAGAAGUGCAUCGGAAACCGGGCGACUUGAGUGCAGAAGAGGACAGUGGAACUCCAUGUGUAGCGGUGGAGUGCGUAGAUAUAUGGAAGAACACCAGUGGCGAAGGCGGCUGUCUGGUCUGCAACUGACGCUGAGGCUCGAAAGCAUGGGUAGCGAACAGGAUUAGAUACCCUGGUAGUCCAUACCGUAAACGAUGAGU
This 851-nucleotide ribosomal RNA is filed under the name uncultured bacterium. Its description in RNAcentral is "bacterial SSU rRNA". It matches the Rfam family "Bacterial small subunit ribosomal RNA", at positions 8 to 814 of the family's 1533-position model. The record is from RNAcentral.